This 69-nucleotide transfer RNA is filed under the name Amphiporus formidabilis. RNAcentral describes it as "tRNA-Gln". Lineage: Eukaryota; Metazoa; Nemertea; Enopla; Monostilifera; Amphiporidae. The record is from RNAcentral.
UGCAAAGUGGUGUAUGGUGCACGAGAAAGUUUGAGUUUCUAGGGGUUGAUUUAGAGUUAUCCUUUGUAA